ACUCCUACGGGAGGCAGCAGUGGGGAAUUUUGGACAAUGGGCGGAAGCCUGAACCAGCCAAGUAGCGUGCAGGAUGACGGCCCUAUGGGUUGUAAACUGCUUUUGAAGGGGAGUAAAGUGAGUGACUUGUCAUUCAUUGCAAGUACCCUUGGAAUAAGGACCGGCUAAUUCCGUGCCAGCAGCCGCGGUAAU
Molecule: ribosomal RNA, 192 nt
Filed under: uncultured bacterium
Lineage: Bacteria
Description: partial 16S ribosomal RNA
Rfam family: Bacterial small subunit ribosomal RNA
Source: RNAcentral